UGGUGAAUAUCUUGCACUCUUCUGAAGCAC
Molecule: non-coding RNA, 30 nt
Filed under: Rattus norvegicus (Norway rat)
Lineage: Eukaryota; Metazoa; Chordata; Mammalia; Rodentia; Muridae
Source: RNAcentral